CAAGACGAUGAUUCAGUGACAUAUGGAAUUUGGAGGAGCCCUAAAGCCUGGCCUCUGUUUGCCAGUUGAGCAGAUCCUCAAGAAGUGUUGUGCACAGAGAGGGGGAUUAUCACCGAGUUGUUCAUGUGUGGAUUUUUGCUGAAAGUACACAAGAACUUCUUCUCCAACGACGUGCCGAUUGCAAGGAUUCGUCGCCUGGAUUCUGGGAUAUCUCCAGUGCAGGUCAUGUAUCUGCUGGAGAUACAUCGCUAAUCACUGCCAGGUGUUGAACCUUUGUAGUUGGUGGAAGUCCAGAAAAUUUAACAUGAAGAUGUAUUUCAACGUGAAGAUGUAUCGGUAACUAUUACUAGCUGGAGCAGAGACUAACAUUUGCUCGAAUAGUCGGGUUAUAUUCAUGAAUUGUUGAUUGGUUUUGAUUCUUAUUAUUUUCUUUAAUGUUUAAAUGUAAGAACUUUCUUUUAAACUCGUACCUACAUAGAUGCCAAAUGCAUGAUAAUACCAAAUGUUUAAAUGUAAGAGCUUUCCUUAAUGUUUAAAUGA
Cynara cardunculus var. scolymus (artichoke) is the source of this 540-nucleotide long non-coding RNA. RefSeq lists it as uncharacterized. The transcript has 3 exons. Lineage: Eukaryota; Viridiplantae; Streptophyta; Magnoliopsida; Asterales; Asteraceae. The record is from RefSeq and is a predicted model, not a curated record.